RNAcentral lists this non-coding RNA (207 nucleotides) under Garciella nitratireducens. RNAcentral describes it as "T-box sequence". It matches the Rfam family "T-box leader". From Rfam's summary of the family: Uncharged tRNA acts as the effector for transcription antitermination of genes in the T-box leader family. The record is from RNAcentral. Lineage: Bacteria; Bacillati; Bacillota; Clostridia; Eubacteriales; Eubacteriaceae.
UGUUUAUCAGUGAAGGGAAGUAGUAAAAGUCCCCUUUUUUUUAAGAGAGUCGAUGGUAGGUGGAAAUCGAUAAAAAGGAGCUUUGAAUCCGUCCUGGAGAUUUUAACUCUAAAAGUUAAAGGGAAAGACCCCUUACAGUCUUUUGAGUGAAUUGACUCUGUCAAUUAAUCAGGGUGGCAACGCGGGAGAACGACUCUCGUCCCUUUA